UUGACCUCAAAUCAGGUAGGACUACCCGCUGAACUUAAGCAUAUCAAUAAGCGGAGGAAAAGAAACUAACAAGGAUUCCCCUAGUAACUGCGAGUGAAGCGGGAUGAGCUCAAAUUUAAAAUCUGACGGUUUCGCCGUCCGAGUUGUAAUCUGGAGAAGCGUUUUCUGCGUCGGACCGUGUACAAGUCCCUUGGAACGGGGCGUCAUAGAGGGUGAGAAUCCCGUCCAUGACACGGGCUACCUAUGCUUUGUGAUACGCUCUCGAAGAGUCGAGUUGUUUGGGAAUGCAGCUCAAAAUGGGUGGUAAAUUCCAUCUAAAGCUAAAUAUUGGCGAGAGACCGAUAGCGAACAAGUACCGUGAGGGAAAGAUGAAAAGCACUUUGGAAAGAGAGUUAAACAGUACGUGAAAUUGUUGAAAGGGAAACGCUUGGAGUCAGUCGCGUCUGUCGAGACUCAGCCUCGCCUUUGGGCUUGGUGUACUUCUCGGUCGACGGGCCAACAUCGAUUUUGGGUGGCGGAUAAAGGUCUGGGGAAGGUGGCACCUUCGGGUGUGUUAUAGCCCCUCUCCGCAUACGUCGUUCGGGAUCGAGGACCGCAGCGCGCCCUUGUGGCCGGGGCUUUGCCCACG
This 628-nucleotide ribosomal RNA is filed under the name Rigidoporus cuneatus. RNAcentral's name for it is "eukaryotic LSU rRNA". It matches the Rfam family "Eukaryotic large subunit ribosomal RNA", at positions 1 to 615 of the family's 3401-position model. The record is from RNAcentral. Lineage: Eukaryota; Fungi; Basidiomycota; Agaricomycetes; Polyporales; Meripilaceae.